GGGGAGGGUUAUCUGUCCUCUGGGGGAUCGUCUUUCUGUAUUAUCGUGGUGGGACCUCGGAGUUCAGAGUAUAGCCGUGGGGAUUCAACCUAAGGCUCGUCCGGGUUCGGUUGUGCCAGUCAGAUCACUCCAAACUGCCCUCGCAUAAAUUCCGGUUUUUCUGCCUCUUCCCCAGAGCUGGAUUUCCGGUGGCUUGCGGCGGGAUCGUCUGAGCCGUCCGACGACGCACCCUCUGACCCACUCUGGUGGGUCAUGCUGUGUCGGAACACUCUUACGGCAGCCAUAGGCGCAUUUCCCCAACACGGCCCCCUAGUAGUACGCCGCGACCGGUUGGGAGAUUCAUUCAAGGGCGGCGUGGCGAGACAAAAUUUGGGGAAGGUGCCCGGUCUCACGGUCGUCGCAGCGUGAGGGUUUGGCCUCCGUGUCACUCUCCACUCGCUCGCCGUCGACACGUCGGGUACUUGUUGCCCGACACGGGAUUCCGUGGUUUUACAUCCCCGUCUCGACCUGUUGCUCGUUCCCUCGCCCGACCGAGGCCGAACACAAGCCUUUAAGUCAAAAUCCGCUCUGCGAGCGGUGAGAGACCUCGUCUUUCAACAAGCCCGUGUGUCGCACCUUGCGCGUCAAAUUCCUUUGCCAAACUUUCCUCCGGCCGUAUUGCACGACCCCUCCCGCAUGUGUUCCACAUCGGGUGUGAGAAGGAGGUGCCUGGUAGGUUCAGCGUGCACGCGCGCGUGGGUCCGCCACCGCGCCCGUUCGCCGAUCGUUGUGCCGUGGGUGUCUGUUGCGGUUUCAGCCGGGCUUGCCGUUUCCUCUGUGUCACGUGCGAGUCUUAGGCGCCGCCUGCCCCUCGUGCCCGGUCUUGCGUCGGGUGCCGGCUCCCGCCACGGUGCACGGAGGUCUGCGGCGAGUAGGUCGACAAUUUACCUGUUGAG
This 935-nucleotide ribosomal RNA is filed under the name Arthrosphaera sp. 1 GS-2010. Its description in RNAcentral is "partial 26S ribosomal RNA". Lineage: Eukaryota; Metazoa; Arthropoda; Diplopoda; Sphaerotheriida; Sphaerotheriidae. The record is from RNAcentral.